Molecule: transfer RNA, 93 nt
Filed under: bacterium ADurb.Bin212
Lineage: Bacteria
Description: tRNA-Ser
Rfam family: tRNA
About the family: Transfer RNA (tRNA) molecules are approximately 80 nucleotides in length.
Source: RNAcentral
GGAGAGUUGCCCGAGUGGCUUAAGGGAACGGUUUGCUAAACCGUCGGUGGAUUAAAACCCGCCACGUGGGUUCGAAUCCCACACUCUCCGCCA